RNAcentral lists this ribosomal RNA (367 nucleotides) under uncultured bacterium. RNAcentral describes it as "partial 16S ribosomal RNA". It matches the Rfam family "Bacterial small subunit ribosomal RNA", at positions 338 to 702 of the family's 1533-position model. The record is from RNAcentral.
CCUACGGGAGGCAGCAGUGAGGAAUAUUGGUCAAUGGACGCAAGUCUGAACCAGCCAUGCCGCGUGCAGGAUGACGGCUCUAUGAGUGGUAAACUGCUUUUGUAAGAGGGUAAACCACGAUACGUGUAUCGGGUUGAAAGUAUCGUACGAAUAAGGAUCGGCUAACUCCGUGCCAGCAGCCGCGGUAAUACGGAGGUUCCGAGCGUUAGCCGGAUUUAUUGGGUUUAAAGGGUGCGUAGGCGGUUUGAUAAGUUAGAGGUGAAAUGUCGGGGCUCAACCCCGAAACUGCCUCUCAUACUGUUGGACUAGAGUAUAGUUGCGGUCGGCGGAAUGUAUGGUGUAGCGGUGAAAUGCUUAGAGAUCAUAC